GCUGUUUUGAGGAAGAUAUAAUGAGGCUUAAAUGCAAUAGAGCAUAUCAUGUCACGGAGUUUGGAUGCACCGGCGAAAGUUGCCCCGAUCCUUGAGGUGAGAAUGGGCAUGCACGGUACUGAAGUGGCUAGCAAAUAUGUGGAGGUGAGAGUGCGUAUAUCCGUGGAUUCACAUUAGUCAUAAAAAACUCACAUACUUAUUGUAAG
Molecule: long non-coding RNA, 206 nt
Filed under: Hordeum vulgare
Lineage: Eukaryota; Viridiplantae; Streptophyta; Magnoliopsida; Poales; Poaceae
Description: long non-coding RNA (HVUL_LNC000663)
Source: RNAcentral